RNAcentral lists this ribosomal RNA (640 nucleotides) under Limnobacter sp. KP1-61. RNAcentral describes it as "bacterial SSU rRNA". It matches the Rfam family "Bacterial small subunit ribosomal RNA", at positions 116 to 752 of the family's 1533-position model. The record is from RNAcentral. Lineage: Bacteria; Pseudomonadati; Pseudomonadota; Betaproteobacteria; Burkholderiales; Burkholderiaceae.
CAUCGGAACGUGCCCAGUAAUGGGGGAUAGCCCGGCGAAAGCCGGAUUAAUACCGCAUACGCCCUGAGGGGGAAAGUGGGGGACCGCAAGGCCUCACGUUAUUGGAGCGGCCGAUGGCUGAUUAGCUAGUUGGUGGGGUAAAGGCCUACCAAGGCGACGAUCAGUAGCUGGUCUGAGAGGACGAUCAGCCACACUGGGACUGAGACACGGCCCAGACUCCUACGGGAGGCAGCAGUGGGGAAUUUUGGACAAUGGGCGAAAGCCUGAUCCAGCAAUGCCGCGUGUGCGAAGAAGGCCUUCGGGUUGUAAAGCACUUUUGUUCGGGAAGAAAACGUCUGUGUUAAUACCACGGGCGGAUGACGGUACCGGAAGAAUAAGCACCGGCUAACUACGUGCCAGCAGCCGCGGUAAUACGUAGGGUGCGAGCGUUAAUCGGAAUUACUGGGCGUAAAGCGUGCGCAGGCGGCCAUGUAAGACAGGUGUGAAAUCCCCGAGCUUAACUUGGGAAUUGCAUUUGUGACUGCAUGGCUAGAGUGUGUCAGAGGGAGGUGGAAUUCCACGUGUAGCAGUGAAAUGCGUAGAUAUGUGGAGGAACACCAAUGGCGAAGGCAGCCUCCUGGGAUAACACUGACGCUCAUGC